UGCCCAGUGACUCAGAAGGAAGCAGGA
Molecule: non-coding RNA, 27 nt
Filed under: Mus musculus (house mouse)
Lineage: Eukaryota; Metazoa; Chordata; Mammalia; Rodentia; Muridae
Also listed under: 1 other name
Source: RNAcentral